RNAcentral lists this transfer RNA (67 nucleotides) under Rybaxis sp. 1 EF-2015. RNAcentral's name for it is "tRNA-Ala". The record is from RNAcentral. Lineage: Eukaryota; Metazoa; Arthropoda; Insecta; Coleoptera; Staphylinidae.
AGGAUUAUAAUUUAAAUAAAAAUAUUUAAUUUGCAAUUAAAAUUUAUUGAUCUAUCAAUUUAUCUUA